Molecule: ribosomal RNA, 460 nt
Filed under: uncultured bacterium
Lineage: Bacteria
Description: partial 16S ribosomal RNA
Rfam family: Bacterial small subunit ribosomal RNA
Source: RNAcentral
CCUACGGGAGGCAGCAGUGAGGAAUAUUGGUCAAUGGACGAGAGUCUGAACCAGCCAAGUAGCGUGAAGGAUGACUGCCCUAUGGGUUGUAAACUUCUUUUAUAUGGGAAUAAAACGUUCCACGUGUGGGAUUUUGUAUGUACCAUAUGAAUAAGGAUCGGCUAACUCCGUGCCAGCAGCCGCGGUAAUACGGAGGAUCCGAGCGUUAUUCGGAUUUAUUGGGUUUAAAGGGAGCGUAGGUGGAAUGUUAAGUCAGUUGUGAAAGUUUGCGGCUCAACCGUAAAAUUGCAGUUGAAACUGGCAGUCUUGAGUACAGUAGAGGUGGGCGGAAUUCGUGGUGUAGCGGUGAAAUGCUUAGAUAUCACGAAGAACUCCGAUUGCGAAGGCAGUUCACUGGACUGCAACUGACACUGAGGCUCGAAAGUGUGGGUAUCAAACAGGAUUAGAUACCCUAGUAGUC